Helianthus annuus (common sunflower) is the source of this 3628-nucleotide long non-coding RNA. RefSeq lists it as uncharacterized. The transcript has 2 exons. The record is from RefSeq and is a predicted model, not a curated record. Lineage: Eukaryota; Viridiplantae; Streptophyta; Magnoliopsida; Asterales; Asteraceae.
UCCUUGGAUGCAAAAUCAGACCUGAGUUGACAAAUGACUCACUAAAUGACAAUAGCUAGGACUCUAGUAUCAUCUCAACAUGGGCCAAAAUAUUUAGUAGAGUACCUACAUGAAAGUAAACAAAAAGCUUGGUGAUGCAGGAGCAUCCGACUAGACCCGAACUCGUACCCAAUGACGAUUCAUCAGAGAUUGGUUGGAAAGUGGAGACUUACUUGGAAGAGAUCGAGGCGAAAUCUUUUAUUAACUAUUUGAAUUAUAUUUCCAUAUUUAUCUUUAAUUUAUUGAGUAUAAGUAGGGCAUCUAGGGUUUACUAUUUUUCAGUUUAUGUUGAUUAUUGAAUAGAAAGAACUAUGUUCCUUUUGGUUCUUUUUAUCAUCUUUGAUUAAUCAAUCUUUCUUGAGCCACUUACGGUCGACUACGUUUGUUAUUGGGACACGAAGAACAAGAGAGCAGAGACAAUUGCCAUUUUUAACAAGCUCAAAGUAAUCAUCAGUCAUGGCUUUGACGCCUUUCAGCAGACUUGUUGGCAAUGGUAAACGGGGUAGGUUUGAUUAAUCGAGAUACCGAUGGCCAUGAUGAAAAUAAGUAAACUUGUGUCUGCGGUAGUAACAACAGCAGUUGUGAUCUACAACUACAACCUAAGGAAUCCGUCACGGGAAAACUCAUGGUCCCACCAAUACUCUGCCAACCAAUGGGACCAGGUAAAACACAACUUCCAUUGCCUUCAAGGGGUUAUUCAAACUUGAGAUCUCUGCUAGAGGGAAUCAGGCGUUUAGUAAUGUGCUACCAAAUUGAAGUUACGAAGUAGUGAUUAUGUGCUUCUUAAUUCGGUUACUAGUUUCAAGAUUUGUUUUUAUCGAACAAACAUUCUAUCUUUACUCUUUGUAAUUUGGACUUUGGAAUAUUAAACACGGAUGUUGAUUGAUGUGAAAUCAUUAUCGUGAGUGUUAUAACUCGUGGCAUUGAAUAAAUGUCAUGUAUCCUUUAGAUGUAGACACACAUUGUGUGCCCCUACCUACUUGUUGUCCUUUAAGAUCACUAAAAUUGCAUUGCUUUAGCUUUCUAAGAUUGUUUUCACCCUCGGUAUUUGGAUGUCUAUGUUUUCUUUUACUUUUACUUUAUGAUUAUCGAUUUGUUUUAGUUUUAUAAGGAGAGUUAGCCGAAUGUUUGCAGAAGAAAUCACUUUACGGGUGAGUUUAUCGCAUAAAUUUUAUGUCGCUCAAUGAAGACGACCAUAUUCUUUUUGUUGUGGGCAUUUGUAUCAAAAAGAUGUCGUGGGAUGGAUUGCACAUACGCCUAUGGUGAUUAAAGAGCUCAAUGCACAAAUGAUGCAGGUACUCUUUUGCUUAUAUAAAGUAUCAAAUUUUACAAAGUAUAUAUCAACCUCUCAUGGUAGUCACUUUGCAUACAAGAUGAUUCUUGCAAAGGUGAAAACUUUGUUGUAUGGUCCAAAUGAUUCCAUGUUGUCUAAUGUGGCGAUGACACAUGUGUAUUCGUGUCACAAACUUUAUACAUUCGAGCUUCUUUGUCCCAUGAAACACGCACCCUGUUUUAAAUUUGAAAUUCAAAUCUAGCACUUUACAUAAUCUUACUUUUUGAGCGAUAUAACUCUUUAUACCGUUGUACCUGACUUUUUUCUUGCUAACAAAUGAUGGUUCUCUUAAAAAUUAAGAAAAAAGAAAGAAUACCAUUCGUCUAGAUCAUCCGUUUUCGCGAACGAGGAUGUCUUUUUUUUUGUUUUAAAUUACAAAAACUAUCGCUUGCAACGAAGCAUCAUGGCUGAACUGGUCAAACUAUUAAUAUUCAUGUGGUCAAUGUGGUUUAUGAUUGUUUUGGUUGAAGUUAAACAUCAAGUAAUUUCUUGACACUUUUAAUUUUAAUAAUCAAAUGGUAAGUUUCCUUUGGAUAAGGAGUGAUAAUGUUUGCUUGUCUCACCCUUCAUGGAAUGCUAGUUGAGUUAUUGGAGUGUGGCCAGGCCAACUAGCUUUAGUUGUGAUGAUAGUACUACAUCAAGCAUCAAUUUGGGCCUAAAUUGUACAAUACAAGCAGGUACUGUGGUCCCAAUUUUAGGAAGGUACCCAUUGCCAUUAUUGUUAUUACUUCUGAGUAGUCAUAGCAACAUUUUUCUUUUUUCUUAAGGAAAUCUAUACAUAACUCAUAACUAUAACCUGGUGAUCGCGUUGGGUUGGCGGGUUGAAUAGCUGAACUUGAAUGUGUUCCACGUAUUUAUUCGUGUCAGAUGUUAAUCCCAACCUGAAUACACUUAACAUCAUGUAACCUGAACAUCAUAACCCUUUUAACCCAUUUAUCUUAAUAAGUCAAAUAGGGUUGUAACCAAGGUUAUUCAAAAAUUUGUGGCUUGUGGCUAGCUCAAAAUUGGCUUUUUUAUAAACGGCUGAGCUAAGCUCGAGCCAUGUUAAGUUCACUCGUGUGGCUCGUUUAAGUUAAACCCAAAUUAUAAUAUUUAUAAGCUAAAACUCAAUUUCAUUUAUAAAUAAGCCCACAUAAUAUGGUCCAUUGCCCACUAGACACCACCCAAAUAUCAAUUUUAGUAUUGAAUGUUUACUUGUAUGUUAAAAUAAAUAAAAAAAAUUAUUUUUAUAACUUAAAUGAGCUGUCUCGAGCUCGAACUUCAGCUCAAUAAAAAUCACAGAAGGCAAGUUGGCUUGCUUAAUUUUGAGCCUAAGCCAUCCAAGUUGUACCCAUGUUGUAUACAAGUUGACGAGUUGUAAUAAGUGGCAAACGUGCUGGUGGGUCGACCUGUUUAGUUAAACGGCUUAACCUGUACAUGACCUGGUUAAUUAAACGCACAUGUUUAUUUAACGUAUAGGUAUGACAAUCCAAAAUCUGAUUAUUUACCUGAAUUGUAUACUAUAUUAAAAGUAUAAGUUGGUGAUAUUUACAAUUUUACAUAGAUAAUCCUCUCCUUUUGUCACCUUUACACAAAUGAUCCUCACUUUUGUAUACACAAAGCAUCUGCCAAAUUUAGUUCAUUUUUAGGCAUGUUUAUUGUAUUCUAUAAUAAUAAUUACAAGUCAAUACAUUUGCUUAUAGGCUUUCUUUACACUUCAAUCAAUAUAUUUGGUUAACGCAUCACAUAACGUUUGGACUAAUUCGUUCGACGUUUACAAUGUAUCCACGCAGCGCAAGGGUCUAAUGACUAGUUUAUAUUAAAACCUCCAACUUUUUCAAUAUUCGGGUGGCCCAAGAAUACAAUGCCUUUUUUUAUAUUGCUGAUAGUAACUUGUACUUUUUUUUAUAUUGAUGAUAUUGUACUAUAACAUUAUUGGAAGACGCUUUAACCUCUCUCCAUGGGUGAAAAGUGAGUUGACUCGGUUAGGACUACACUUUUAUCUCAAAGAAGAGCAAUGUACAACUUUUCAUUGCUAUGGUACACCUUGUGACGCGUAUAUCGACUUUGUUCCAUUUGGGUGCGGUUUACAUGUUAAGAAUUGAAUAAACUAUAGCCAGAUACGAGGUUUUGUGCACAACAAUUUAUUAUAGAAAAAUAACAGAAACAUAAGUUUGUUGUGACAAAUAUAUGAAUACAGGCACAUGGUGCCCUUGGAUGCAUGAGUGAGUCGUAAAUUUAGAAUAUGUAAAAACUGACAAUGCGUCAAGUUUUUGC